This 2502-nucleotide long non-coding RNA is filed under the name Trifolium pratense (red clover). RNAcentral's name for it is "long non-coding RNA (TPRA_LNC012348)". Lineage: Eukaryota; Viridiplantae; Streptophyta; Magnoliopsida; Fabales; Fabaceae. The record is from RNAcentral.
CACAUAUCUCUUGGACAAUCAGAGUCUUCAUUGCAGGUAAAUUGACUUAAGGGAAAUUCAACUGUGAUGUAAAUAAGAAUAAAUGAAUGUUACUAAAAGAUGAUGAAAUAUUAUGUAUAAGAUAAAGAAAAAAAAAUUGAAAAUAUAUAGUAGUAUGAAAAAUGACUUACUCCCAUUGGUUACAACAAGAAAUAGAGAAAUAAAAGUAAUUAAAACAUAAAGGAACUUGAGAAUUAAAGCCAUAUUUUUUUUUCCUCCUUUGCAUAUAAUAAAUAGACAAUUGUUUGAUCAAUUUAUAUAGUCAAAAUUUCAUGAUUUUUUUACUUCAACAAAUAGGAGUUGCAAGAAACCAAUCAUAAAAUUUUAAUUAUUAAUUGUACAUUAACGUGUUUUACAUGUUUACCUCUUUAGCUCAUCCAAUUGAUAGCGUAACCUCAUCAAAGUUCAUUUAAAUUUUUAUAUAUUAAACUUUAUUUAUUUUAUUUAUUUAUUUCAUGAUAAUCAAGGGAAAAAUUCCAAAAGAGCAUAGUAGUGAUGAAAACGGUUAAUUAUAAAAAAUUAAGAUAAUUAAUGGGAAAAUAAUUAGAAUGAUGGGCAUUGGUUCGUACUAGCAAUUAUUAAAAAAUAAAAUAAGCAAUGCAUAUGAAACUUGAGACAAAUUAUUUCAUAUUAUUUUGCCAAUAUACUCUCAUGAAAGUUGAAACACCAAUUAACCCAAUUAUUCCACGAAACUUUGAAUUGGAUCAUAAAAUAAAUAAAAAAACAAUUACAAUAGGGUUUAAGAAAAAUAAAUAAAAUAAAAAACCUAAAUAUUGCUAAGGUUAAGGGUUGAGAGUUUAGUUUUCAUUUGAGGCCUCAACAAUAUUACUUACUAAACUAAUAAAAUACUUAAAAUUUAAAUGUCAUAUUUUAUAUUUAUAACAAAAUGGAACAUUUUUUAGGCCUUUUUUCAUCUGAAAUAAGAAACAAAAAGACUCUCGAAAUGUUGAGUGUUUUUAGGAUUCAUUCAAAGUUUUGGGGAAUAAUUGAGUUCAUUUGAGAGAUUCAUGAGAGUAUUGCAAAAGGAUAAAAAAUAAUUUGUCUAAAGUUUCAUAUGCAUUAUUAUUUUUUUAAUAUUUGCUACUUAGGAAUCAUCACAUUUUUUUCCUUUCUACUUAACAUAUUUAGAUAUCGUUUGACUUAGUUUUUUUUUUUCCUUUUCUUUUUUCUUAGAAGUAAGAUACUAGGCCAAACAACAAUUAUUAAAAGCUUCGGUGAGAAAAAAAUAACUUCUAUAUUUUAAGAAAAAUUAUAAUAUAUUAUCAAACAUAUCUUUUAACCUUAUUAUAAUAAUAUAAAAAAAAAACAACUUUUAACAUUUUUUUUUUAUAAAAAAGUAAGAUUUGCCAAAUAACUUUAAUUUUAAUUUUAAAGCUAUUAUUUUAGCUUUAUGGUUAAAAUAAUUUAUACCCCUAAAAAAAUCUGGGUAAAACGAUACCAUAGUAUAUUACCGAACCAAUGUCAAUUAAUCUAUUUUCCUGCUAAUUAUUGUAAUUUUUUUCUAUAACUAGAAAGUUUUUGUCACUAGCUAGUAGCUACUAUUAUUUCUCUUUUGGAAAUUUCCCUUUACUAUCAUGAAAGGCUAAACGAGAAAUAACAAAAAUAUAAUGAAAGUUUAAUAAAUAAAUAAGAAUGAACUUUGAUGAGAUUAUUAAGUGAUCAAUUGGAUGAGCUAAAGAGGUAAACAAGACACAUUGGUGUAGCUUAUAAACAUUUAACAAUAAUUCAAAUUUUAUCAAUGGUUUAUUUCAACUCUCAAAAAUUAUUUGAUUGAAGUAAAUAAAUCAUGGAAUUUUUACUAUAAAUUGAUGACACAAUUUUCUAUUUAUUACAUGCAAAGAAGAAAAAAAAAUAUGGAUUUGAUUACCAAGUUCAUUUAUGCUUUGAUUAUUUUUAUUUCUCUAUUUCUUGUCGUAACCAACAGCGGUAAGUCAUUUUUCAUACCAUUUUUAAUUUUGCAUCUAUAAUAUAUAUAAUUGGUCUGUUUGAUCCGUAAAAUAUAAGUAUUGAACAAAAUAGUACAUGAAGAACAACAUAAGACAAACAUGUAAAAUAUUGAACUUGUACGAUGUUUUGUUGAAAAAAUGUUAGUUUGAUCUUUUAAACAACUUAUGCGGAGGACAAAAAAUUAUCUCAUGGUGCAGUAGGGCCAAGAAUUUCAACUUUUGUCCAAUCAUUUGCCACUCAAUUUGUUCAGUCUCAGAUGUAAUUUUAAAAUAAAAUAUAAUACAACUAAAAUUAUUAUAUUUUAGUCGUUAAUUUUUAACCGAUUAAACACACACAAUAUUUGAUCAUCUUUUACUAACAUUCAUCUAUUCUUAUUUACUAAUAUGGCAGCUGAAUUUCCUUUGAUUGAUUCCCCAUCAAAAUUUCUCUGCAUUCAUGGAACUGAUUGUCCAUGGGAUUUGUGUAUCCAUCUUGCUCGAACUCCAAGUUGCAUCGAUUUUAUUUGUGAGUGCUAAU